RNAcentral lists this ribosomal RNA (427 nucleotides) under uncultured bacterium. Its description in RNAcentral is "bacterial SSU rRNA". It matches the Rfam family "Bacterial small subunit ribosomal RNA", at positions 355 to 774 of the family's 1533-position model. The record is from RNAcentral.
UGGGGAAUUUUGGACAAUGGGCGAAAGCCUGAUCCAGCCAUGCCGCGUGAGUGAAGAAGGCCUUCGGGUUGUAAGGCUCUUUCAGGUGGAAAGAAAACGCAUAGGUCAAUACCUUGUGCGGAUGACGGUACCAUCAGAAGAAGCACCGGCUAACUACGUGCCAGCAGCCGCGGUAAUACGUAGGGUGCGAGCGUUAAUCGGAAUUACUGGGCGUAAAGCGUGCGCAGGCGGUUAUGUAAGACAGAUGUGAAAUCCCCGGGCUCAACCUGGGAACUGCGUUUGUGACUGCAUAACUAGAGUACGGCAGAGGGAGGUGGAAUUCCGCGUGUAGCAGUGAAAUGCGUAGAGAUGCGGAGGAACACCGAUGGCGAAGGCAGCUCACUACGGAUGUAUCGACACUGAGGCACGAAAGCGUGGGGAGCAAACA